CACGGGCGGGGCAAUCGUGACCGAGGCUGCCCCCGAGAGGUGGGCAGCUUCCUUCUCACUCUGUGGCCUUCCUCUUCCAGGGGCUGAAAUCCGUGCAUGAAGCAGCAGGCUGAAUGGAUGGAGCACCCCUCCCCACCCCCGUGGAAGAAUGCUUGUCUGUUGUACAACUGGGAACUAUGGAUUACAGAGAAAGCGUCCCCUCAAAAUACUGUCAAUCAGGCCCGGCGUGGUGGCGCAUCGCCUUUAAUCCCAGCACUUGGGAGGCAGAGAGUUCACUGAUGGUCCUGAUGGUCGGCGCAGUGGGGAUGGGACAGGCGUGGAUCAGAAGAACCAGUGUGAUGGAUGGGAGUGUAAAAUGAUGCAGCUGCUAUGGAAACAGUACACGGAACCCUGAAACUUAACAGAACAGAAUUACCAUACAAUCCAGCAAGUCUACUUUUGGGUAUAUAUCCAAAAAAUUGUAAUUAAAAAUAGUCUUGAAGAGAUA
Long non-coding RNA from Jaculus jaculus (lesser Egyptian jerboa), 487 nucleotides. RefSeq lists it as uncharacterized. The record is from RefSeq and is a predicted model, not a curated record. NCBI's taxonomy places the organism in Eukaryota, Metazoa, Chordata, Mammalia, Rodentia, Dipodidae. The transcript has 3 exons.